GUCCCUUAAAUAACCCUGGGUCCGUUUCACGAAGCAGGUUCAACAAACUCUGUGUAACCUUGAACUCUGAGUUGAUCUACUCUGAGAUACGAAACUCUGACUUUUCGGUUUCACAACGGCUGAUUUGAGUUGGUUUAAUCACCUCGGAGUAGUUUCACCCAGAGUGCACCGCAACUAUAAAAAGACAGCAUCAAUGGAACCCCGAUUCGACGACUCACCGUGGUGACGGGGGAGCGGAGAGCUACGUUUUUUACACCACUUGAAGUGGACAUCUUAAUGCGUUCAUAUGGCGACUUCGAACACGUUUUUAGAAAGAAGUGCAACACCUGCAGCUGCAAAAGAGAGGGAGACGGCGUGGGAGAACAUUGCUGCCCGAGUCAAUGCGCAAGUUUAAAUCACAAUAAUAUUACAGGAAAACUGUUUAAUAGCAGUCUAUUCUGUUAUUUCAUUUAGGUGCAGUCCUGCGGGGGAGAAGCGCAUGUGGCAGCAGCUGUAGAUGAAAUAUAAGAACAUUGUUCAAACAGGUAAGAAGUCGGCAUAAUCUCAUGGAGCUACCUCAUUUUGAUCAUGUUUUACAUUGUAAAGUAGCUUAAUUAUUAAGUGGCUGUUUGACUGUGCAGUGGUUCUAUCACACACAUAGCCUAAAUGUCUGCAUCCAUAUCAUGUUCUGUCAAACAAUUAAGCCCAUUUAAACUAACACAGACUUCUACUCAGCCAACAGAAAGAAAGCAGAUGCCUGUAAAAAGGGAGGUGGCCCAGCACCACCACCUGUAACGGAGGCAGAGGAGCUGCUCCUAAGCCAGAAUUUGGGAAGGCCAGUGGCUGAGGGAAUUCCUGGAGGGAGCUCAUUCUCUGAGACCACAUCCCAAGACACAAGCAAGAGGAAAAGGUGCAACAGAAAAUUGGACCUUCCAAGCGUACUUGUGGAGAUGCAGGCUGAGAAGGAGCGGAACCGUGCCCAGCAUGAUGAGAACAUCUGGUUGCCCCUCAGCGAGGCAAGAGAGAAUGAAGCGGCCUUGCAGCGGGAGGAGAUGGCCCAGAAUGCUGCCUUCAACCAGUCAUUCCUGGGUGUACUGGGGCAGCUGGUGCAGGCAGUGGGCAGCCAGCGAGUCCACCUCCCAGAGACUUGAGAUUUAGUUGUAUAUAGUUUUACUUUUAGCCCUCCACUGUAGGAGAGGCCCACCACAGUUUGUACUUUGCACAUUGUAAAUAGUUUUGAUUUUGCUGCUGACUAAUAAACUAUUUUGUGACUUA
Long non-coding RNA from Amphiprion ocellaris (clown anemonefish), 1254 nucleotides. NCBI's taxonomy places the organism in Eukaryota, Metazoa, Chordata, Actinopteri, Pomacentridae. The record is from Ensembl.